GCGGUUUGGGAUCAUUAUGCCAGCAUCCUUGAUAAAAUCGCAGUCCUCGGUCUAGGCAGGCAGCAUCAACGCAGGCUAUAACACUUCACCGAAGCAAAGUCACAUUCCUACGCCAUUAUCCUACCGCCCAAACCGAUGCUGGCCCGAUAAGCUGCGGGUCACCCCGCCACGAAGGCAAAGCUCACAAAAUAUCGAGUCUGAUCUCAAACCCUUCCCUUUCAACAAUUUCACGUACUUUUUCACUCUCUUUUCAAAGUUCUUUUCAUCUUUCCAUCACUGUACUUGUUCGCUAUCGGUCUCUCGCCAAUAUUUAGCUUUAGAUGGAAUUUACCACCCACUUAGAGCUGCAUUCCCAAACAACUCGACUCUUCGAAAGCACCUUACAUAGGAUUGGGCAUCUCAUCGCACGGGAUUCUCACCCUCUGUGACGUCCUGUUCCAAGAAACAUAGACAAGAGCCAACCCCAAGGUUACAAUCUUCAAAUUACAACUCGGACACCGAAGGUGCCAGAUUUCAAAUUUGAGCUUUUGCCGCUUCACUCGCCGCUACUAAGGCAAUCCCUGUUGGUUU
Molecule: ribosomal RNA, 570 nt
Filed under: Meyerozyma guilliermondii
Lineage: Eukaryota; Fungi; Ascomycota; Pichiomycetes; Serinales; Debaryomycetaceae
Description: partial large subunit ribosomal RNA
Source: RNAcentral